GCCUUGAUGGUGCAGCGGUAGUAGCACGCGUCCUCGGUAUGGAUAAAACUCGGGUUCGAUUCUCGCGUGAGACC
Non-coding RNA from Parelaphostrongylus tenuis, 74 nucleotides. The record is from the annotation of a GenBank genome assembly. Lineage: Eukaryota; Metazoa; Nematoda; Chromadorea; Rhabditida; Metastrongylidae.